UCUCCUCGAGGGGAAAGGAUCGUCCGAAUGUCCUAUCGUCAAUGGCGACACCAACCACUCCUUCGCGAAUUAGUUCGGAGCAGUUCAAAUCGUUCACUUCAAUCCUUCCGCCUCUGCCGCUGAGAUUCACCGCCGCCAAAACUAAGAAUCAAUGGCGAGUGAGGUGCGCAUUGUCCUCAAACAAUUGGCGGGAGAGCAGGCGACUGUUCUCCAUCUCUCUUGUCUUCUCAAAUUUGUUCCUGAUUCCUCACCAUGCCUCUGCCGGAAGCUUUCUGGACAAAUACGUGAAGAAGAAAAAGCUGGAUCCGCUUGAAGUUUAUGUUCCAGCCGUCAUAUUGACGCAGUUACAAAUCAAAGACGUCGGGAAAAUUUUGGAAAGUAGUAAACCAGAAUACGCGACAUGCCGAUCUCUCUUGCGUUCUGGAAUUGCAUCAUCACUUCGAGUAAAUAUUCGAGCAGUUGCACAAUAUGCCUCGGAGGAUGGAAAUGGAAACAUUGCGUUUGACAAUGUUGAUCAAUGUCUCAGGGCCCUGGAAGAACUUGAUUCUUCCCUUUUACGUGCCACAAGAAAUGAUCGUGGAACCUCAAUUGAGUCGAUGAAGACCAAUAUUGACACUGCCGUCCUUGCUCUAGACCGGCUCCUUCAAACUGUUCCUCCUGAUGUCCUGGCUAAAGGGCAGGCUAUUGCUGAUGCUUAUAAUUCUCCUGAAGAGGAAGAAACCGAAAUUGCAGACCCAGAACUGAAGCAGUUGGAAUCUAUUUUAUGAUAUAGAUAUCCUGUAGAACUGAGGAUUCAUCCCAACUCAAGCAAUCUUCUUUAAUGUCCAGUUUGAUUAGGAUUCAGAAUUUAGAUUCGGCUACCAUGGAGUUUUUAUGAUUGAGCCACCGAAAAGAAUGGUACGCCUUAUUGGUCUGAGUAGUAACUUUCAAUUUUUCAAGUCUUUCUUAGAUAUCCUAUUCUCAAGAUCAUUAUCAUUCUGAUAUAGUCUCGGUUCAUUCAUGUCCUCUUUAUUUACUUGAGUGUCACAUGCCCACCAGCUUUCGCCUUGGUUCGUCCUACAUAGGUAGUAACUUUCGAUUCUUUUAAGCUUUUUUUUAGUCGUCCUAUCCUCAAUGGAUGUGAUCCCAGUUCAUUCAUGUACCACUUUUUAACUCGUUACUCGUACAAACCGGAAUAAAUAGGAAAUGUGAUAGAGAGGCAUUCAAUUGAACGUUUACAGUUACAUUCUUAGUUAUAAAAUCAACAUUGGGCCGACUACUAAUUUCUGUAGGCCCAUUAAUAACGUUGGGCUUGAACAAGCCUUAUAUGAAAAAACACUCUUUCCUUAUUCUUUCUUUAAAGCAUACGGGAAUUGCUA
Cucurbita maxima (winter squash) is the source of this 1358-nucleotide RNA transcript. RefSeq lists it as uncharacterized. The transcript has 9 exons. Lineage: Eukaryota; Viridiplantae; Streptophyta; Magnoliopsida; Cucurbitales; Cucurbitaceae. The record is from RefSeq and is a predicted model, not a curated record.